Long non-coding RNA from Corvus hawaiiensis (hawaiian crow), 4111 nucleotides. RefSeq lists it as uncharacterized. The transcript is spliced from 15 exons. Lineage: Eukaryota; Metazoa; Chordata; Aves; Passeriformes; Corvidae. The record is from RefSeq and is a predicted model, not a curated record.
UGCUUUGAAGAGCAGUGACACUGUGGAUGCACCCACUGCGUGCACGGCCUCUGGCACCUGGACGGGCAGAGGAGAAGCCCAGCUUGGGAGCUGGGCAACUACAAGAAUUGCAUCAUAUGGAACGAGGCUGAUGUCACCUGGCUGUUUAUUUCUGCAAGCAGAGAGAGGAUUUUCAACAGUAUCCUGGAAUCACAGAGCUUUAUAAGGAAAGGGCUGAAGACAUCUGGACCCUACUAGCAAGAACAGGCCACAUGAAAAUUGGUUUUAACACAAGAGAAAAAUUACACAGCUCUUGUUCAGAGUGAAGCCGGAGGGUAACGAGGGAAGGAAAUGUGUAAAAUUCACACCUCUUUUCAGGAGGUUUGGCACCAUCCAGAAAUGCCAUAGUUGACAGCAACCUGAGGAGAGGUGGGGUGAGGAUGCCCUGGUGGCAACCUGAGCAGCAAAAUGGGAAACAGAGGCCACCUUCAGAGAGGCAGGAAUUUUGCUCAGACUACAGGGUGUGCUGGUUGGCAGUUUCUUCCCCCAGAAUGACCAAUGGCCAACAUGUUGUCAGCCAAGGUGAUAUUUCUGCCUGAAACUUUGGAAGGGAAGAAGCCACACCACCUGUCUGGAGUGGAGGGGAGGGAUGAACCAUGCUCCAGCCACAGGCAGAUGCCGUCAUCCUGCCCUGCAGCUUCCUGGGAGGAAUGUCUGGAGCAGCAGGACAUGCACAACCGUAUUUUUUAAUAGAUAAACAACCCAUCUUUCUCCUUCCUGCAAUCCCAUUGGUGAGCUUCAUUUGGCCAAACAAGGAGUUCAAGGUGUACCAUGGGGCUCAGAGGGAGGAAAAGUGCAAGAAAUCCUUCCAGGAAAUAGAAAGCAAGCAACAGGAUUUCAUCCAAGGGCUCCCUGAAUGCAGAAAACAGAUGGUGAUUGAGUUCUGUAGCAGCUCAUCUGAAGGACACAAAAAUGAAAUUUUUUCCAGGAAAGUCUUCAUGCCAGCAGCAUGGAACUUCAAGCUUCGGCUUUAAAGGUCGUUGUGUUUUAUCAAGAUAUCAUUUUGUGAUGAGUUUUUAUUAUUCUCAGUGGCACUAACAGCAUGCAGUGGCUGAUCUUUCUUCAGAAACAGUAAAGGAAGAUUUCGAUGGACAUGUAAUUAGAGGUGAAUGGAGUCUUCAGACGUACAGCAACCACGAAAGCCAGCGGCAAAGUCAAAGUGUUUGUCUAAUUCUGCAGUCGGCUCUUUCAGUGAACGAAACCAUGUGGUCAGCUGCACAAAGAGGAGAAGAAAGUAGAAAAGGAGAAGCAAAAAAAAAAAAAAAAAAAAACAAAACACCAACAAAAAAAACCAAAAUCAGCCUUUAAAUAAAAAAAAGUGGGUUGCCUGGCACUUACAAAGCUCCCAGAUGAAAAGGAAUGUGUUUCAAUAUAUUUUUGGUCAGGGUGCCAGAGAGCACGUUGGAAGAUAAAUGCCAGCAAAGAAUCUGUCCUUCUCAUACAGAGGGAAGAAAUAGCUAAAGGUGGAAAGCUUUGUUUUGAAGUGCUUGAGAUGCUUAAUCAUUAGCAGAAUACAUGUGAGAGCUGGAAAGCUACAGAAAAAUAAAUGAAGGUGAACUGAAGAAAUGUGUGCCACAACACUGGCGUAAAGAUUUGAGUAUUUUUUUAUGUAAGUCAUCCACAUCUGCCACACUUCAGGAAACAUCCUGCAGCUCUUACACCAGACAGCAAGCAGCAGAUAUUCCAUCCUGUCCCUGAGGACGUCAGUCUGAUGAGCCACAGUGAUGCCCAUCCUCACCAUGUGCCUACAGAGUGGGAGGAAGAAAUAAAAUUAAUCCCUCUGGAUCAGAGCUGUAACGAUCCUGACAGAAGGACAGGGUGUCUGAAGCUGUGCUGAUUUAUUCCAGAGGAGGCAAUGCUCCUUGGAGGGCAAGAGCAUGGAUACAGGGUGUGGCAUGGCUGGAUGACCCCAGCCUGCAGAGGCAUAGUGGCAUUAAGAGCAACAAACCCAUGCUUGCAAGCAAAUUAAAAUUCAGAACUUAAUUGGAUUUUUAUAUUCUCUUUAAACAGCUUUACCAAGGUGGCACUUUCUGAUCCUGUAUAUAAGAACUGAUCUCUGAUGGUGACAGUAAAGCCCAGGUCUCCCAUAUCCCACUGAGGUGAAAUUCUUAUUAAAGCAGAGUAAGAAAUAUCUGUGAGAAAACUUCACUUCAUAUUUUCAUUGAAGAAGAUACUGAGAAUGGGACUCUGGCAGGAAACAGCAUUUUUAAGGACGAGCAGAGGGAAAAGCCACCUUGAUGAGGUCACCUCCAGGUUAUAUGGUCAUUACUUACACUCUGUGUUGGAGAGGAGCAACACAGUGCCAACAGAUCUGCACUUUGGAUCUCACAGCACAGUUCUGUGACACUGGAAUGGAAGCUUUCACUCCAUACAAGUCAUUUGAUUUCAGGAAAAUAUCUGAAGUAAUGAAAAUGUUAGGUGAUGAGAACAUUUCUUGGCCAGCAGCUCUGGCUGCUCCCCUGAGCGCUCUUGGCACAGUGGGAAUCAGAGAGGCCAUUCCUGUUCCAUCCCCAGGAAACAGGGCCCUGCUUUAUCCCAGGGUGACAAAAGACUUAUUGCAAACAUACAUCUUCCCACUCAUCUAGUGAACGCUUCAUGACCCUGAGGAACUCGCUGAGGUAGAAGCAUGAUUCAAAAAUCCUCAGUGCUAAACAAACAGGCUCACACUGAUCCCAGUUCUUCCUCUCCUCGGGUUACUUCUGGUCAGCGCGAGUCAAACAUCACACCCACACCUGAAAACCUCCCCACUGCAGAUCUGUGUGGGGUGAGGCAGGAGCAGAAAGGCAUUGCUAACUGAGGGCCUAAUUAUAAAACUGCCAGUACCUUUGGGAAAUAACUGACCGCAAAUGUCAGCUCAUCAGCAGGGUUGGAGCAUUCUUGCUGAAGUAUAAAAUUCUCAGCAUUAAAACUCUGCACUUCACAUUGUAUCAUUUUCAAGUGCAUGCCUUAAAACUGAUCGUGCCAGACAUCUUCCCCUGUGUUUUCCCUUCUGAAACCAAUGAUGCCAGUUUUAACACCUGCCACGAGCACAUAGGUGUGUAAAUUAAAAAUGUACUUUGCCUCCUCAGUGUUGACCUUCCUUACAGAUUAUUACUGCACUUACAUCUACGUGAGGCAGAACCUCCACACAUUCAGUGCAACAAAUCCCUUGCAUCAUUUGAAGAUUUGCCCCUCAUUUUAUAAGUCAUGUUUAUUACAGAUUGCAACAUGAGUAAGGACUCGGAAUUACUUUUCAAAAAUUAACUUUCUCCACACAAACAGACACCUAAGUAAUAAAGAAGUAAUCAAAGAAUAAAAGCCCCAGUUUGGUGCUACUUCUUCUUCAGGAUUUUGUCUGGCUACUUCUCUGCAUUCCUUGGGAAUUCAGAAUCAAGCAUAUGAGUCUGUCAAAAAGCCAUUUUUUCCUUAUUUCUGCCCAGAGUAAAAAAAAAAAUUAAAUGAACGUAUAACAGGAAAAUCUGCUCCUAUCAGGAGACCACGUCCCACUUUGUAGUCAUCAAGGCUUUGUCUAAUUCAAAUUACUUUGGCAUAACUGUCAAAAUUUGCUCUUCCCUGCUGAUUCAUCUCAGAUGUGUGGCAUUUCUCCCUUCUGAUUAGCCCAGAGAUGGACCUGGCCAGCCUCACUCACACGUGGUUCCAGCACAGCUCUGUGCAAGGUGGGGCAGAAACAACAACUGCUCUCCCAUCCUCCUUGCCAGCCUCACACUCGGCUGAGACAUCCAGACAACAUGGACAUGAAAGAGGCCCACAGAAACAGUCACAGAGAAAGUCAUUUUUCGUUUUCAAAGAGUUUUCUAAGCGUUUUUCCCCCUCUCCCUUUCUUUUGUUUUUGCUUUUAAUUAAAAAAUUUUCUGGUAUUGUAGAAAGUCAAAGUUCUCUUUAAAGCACAACCUCAUAUGAAGAUAAAAAGUAAAACACAGUUGGCAAGAGAAUUUUUCAUUUGUAUCUCCAAUGUGUCAGUUGGAAAUCCCCAGUGACAAUGCUGAUCCAUGUCACGAUUAAAAACUCCAAAACCAGUGAUGGAUAUUGGGAUUCAAAGGUCUGUUGAAAUUAAAUAGGAAGUACAAAUAUA